RNAcentral lists this long non-coding RNA (723 nucleotides) under Numida meleagris (helmeted guineafowl). Its description in RNAcentral is "lncRNA (ENSNMEG00000009927.1)". Lineage: Eukaryota; Metazoa; Chordata; Aves; Galliformes; Numididae. The record is from RNAcentral.
GGAUCCCAUUGGCCUUCUUGGCCACGAGGGCAUGUGAGGUCUCCCAGGUGCACAGAACGGGUGUGUCUUUGACUGUGAUGAGGACAGAACCCCAAGAGGGGAGCCACAGGAGCCCUACUCCAACAGAUGCACAAGAGCUUUUCUGUAGCUACUGACCAGGCCUGCAGCCCAGCAAGUUUAGCACCAUGCCCUGGAUGAGCAACAUCAUUCUGCUGCCUUCUGUUCGUUGUUGCUUGAUUAAUGUAUGCUUUUGAACGGCUUGAAUUAAAGAGUUAAACUAAUUGUUUAAGGAAACACUCUUGACUCAGUUCAGACGUUGUUGGAAGCCUGUCACUACGGAUCUUAUGGAGGGAAUGAGGAUCAUAAUGAGUAUUCCUGCAGAGCCAAGUACUUCUGAUCCUGUUGUCCGGGGGUUGUCUGCAUUUCUAUACACACGUGGAUGCAACUGGUCUAUUUGGAAAUGCCUCACAAAGAAUUCUUACCUAGAAUGGACAGAGACAAAAACAUCUGGACAAGCUUGAUUCGGGUCUCCAAGCAGAACAGGUAGUAGCUGUAUGGAACCAAGCAUAAUUUAUCAUAGGAAAGGCUUACUCGGGGCAUUCAGUAGAAUUGAGACCAUUUAGAGGGGAAGUAAUUUGUCUUAAAUUUAUUCCCUGAAGGACAAGAGGAAUUAUUAAAUAUUUAAUGACUGUGCAGAAAAAUAAAAUUGCCAACUUUAACUCA